This 508-nucleotide long non-coding RNA is filed under the name Columba livia (rock pigeon). Its description in RNAcentral is "partial uncharacterized LOC102094239". The record is from RNAcentral. Lineage: Eukaryota; Metazoa; Chordata; Aves; Columbiformes; Columbidae.
UGAAAUGAGAGAUGAAGAUAAAGAGUAAUCACCAAAUUAAAGAACAGCAAUUAAACCGGCUUAGAAACAGAGAGCUCACUUAAGAACCUCUACGAAUGGGCCUCCUUCCCACAGCAAAACUUCAAUGGUCUGAUGAUGUCCAUAGUGCUGAGACACAUACUUCUGCCCCUACUCUCCAGUACAGUCACAGGCUUCCAGCCGCUGCCUCUGAAGCAGAUCGCCGAUGUUAAGGGUCGAGGUUGAUUGACCGCCCUUCUUUUUGGGAAGCGUCCGCUGAUAUCUUAACUCACCUUUGCCAUACUGCACUCUGGACCCAUACCGCAGUUCACAGAGCAAGCUGUGUGGAAAAUACUGGUAACACAAGUAUCUGGGUCAGGAAAUAAAGGGUGCCUUCCUACUGAGUUUCAUGUAAGCCCUUUAUUGCUGCCACUCCCACUCUGAGUGCGUCCUCUCCUGAUUACUUUGAUCCCUUUCCAUCUGGCCUGAACAUUCAAAAACACAGUGGAGA